UAGUUAAAAACUGAACUAAUGAUAAAGAGAGAAAUGUCAUGAUGAGUUGUAGAGAGUAUCUCAUAGUUUCUCAAGUGAGAAACUUUCUACCUUCUUUCUCUUUCAUUUUUAAUAU
RNAcentral lists this small RNA (115 nucleotides) under Arabidopsis thaliana (thale cress). RNAcentral describes it as "ATSL056980". The record is from RNAcentral. Lineage: Eukaryota; Viridiplantae; Streptophyta; Magnoliopsida; Brassicales; Brassicaceae.